RNAcentral lists this ribosomal RNA (597 nucleotides) under Triticum aestivum (bread wheat). Its description in RNAcentral is "partial small subunit ribosomal RNA". The record is from RNAcentral. Lineage: Eukaryota; Viridiplantae; Streptophyta; Magnoliopsida; Poales; Poaceae.
AUGUGGACUGAGUCAGACGGCGGCAACCACCAGGGCCAGGAGCAUGGGCAUGGCGCGGCUACCCUGGUCCCAAGCCUAACACCAUCGUUGGGUGGUGUCGUCCGUCUCCGUCCGCCAGGAAAGGGCCAAGCCCCGGGCCGACGUAAAGGACUUCUACCUCCUGCCUCGGCGUCCAAGGUGCAGCCCCGUCGCAACACUUCAAGCCGGCCGCCUUGCCCUAGCCCGCUUAGUCGAUCCUAUACUGUCACCAAGCACAAGAACAAAAGCAAGGCUCUUUUGGCAUGUGGUACAAGUUCAAUCAGCCAGGUAGAUGCUCCUUGUGACACAUCUGCCCCAAUGGAUGAAGAUGCAGAUCAUGUCAUUCUUUCAGAUGAUGAAGAUGGACAGGAGGAGGAGGUGGAAGAGGUCAAUGAAGCAGGCAAACGGAAGCUAACUUCUAAAGUUUGGUUGGAAAUGAAGAAGAUGAGGAUCAAUGGACAAUGGAAAGCAAAGUGUAACUAUUGUCACAAGGAACUUGCUUCAGGACCUAGAGCAGGCACAAAGCAUCUUGCUUCUCAUCUAAAGAUUUGUACUCUCAAGAUGUUGAAGAUGAAGUGA